Molecule: small RNA, 1085 nt
Filed under: Pan troglodytes (chimpanzee)
Lineage: Eukaryota; Metazoa; Chordata; Mammalia; Primates; Hominidae
Description: retained intron
Source: RNAcentral
CGGUGUUCCCGGCUGCUAUAGAGCCGGGUGAGAGAGCGAGCGCCCGUCGGCGGGUGUCGAGGGCGGGUUGCCUCGCGCUGACCCUUCCCGCCCUCCUUCUCGUCACACACCAGGUCCCCGCGGAAGCCGCGGUGUCGGCGCCAUGGCGGAGCUGACGGCUCUUGAGAGUCUCAUCGAGAUGGGUUUCCCCAGGGGACGCGCGUAAGGGAGUUCCCCAACCCCGGCCUGCGGGGGUGGGGGGUCGCGGACCUGUCUCGGCCUUUGCCCCAGCCUGACCGUCACCAUGGCUCGUGGGCGCUAUUCAUGGUGUUUCUGCCCCCAGGGAGAAGGCUCUGGCCCUCACAGGGAACCAGGGCAUCGAGGCUGCGAUGGACUGGCUGAUGGAGCACGAAGACGACCCCGAUGUGGACGAGCCUUUAGAGACUCCCCUUGGACAUAUCCUGGGACGGGAGCCCACUUCCUCAGAGCAAGGCGGCCUUGAAGGAUCUGGUUCUGCUGCCGGAGAAGGCAAACCCGUUUUGAGUGAAGAGGAAAGACAGGAACAAACUAAGAGGAUGUUGGAGCUGGUGGCCCAGAAGCAGCGGGAGCGUGAAGAAAGAGAGGAACGGGAGGCAUUGGAACGGGAACGGCAGCGCAGGAGACAAGGGCAAGAGUUGUCAGCAGCACGACAGCGGCUACAGGAAGAUGAGAUGCGCCGGGCUGCUGAGGAGAGGCGGAGGGAAAAGGCCGAGGAGUUAGCAGCCAGACAAAGAGUUAGAGAAAAGAUCGAGAGGGACAAAGCAGAGAGAGCCAAGAAGGUAGGUGACUGAGAAGACGCCACGGGUAAUGGAGUGGGCAGGUUAGUAAAUCUUUUCCAGCUUCAGAGGGAAAGCAUGGGCUUAUAUGAUCUGUUUCACCUGAGGAUGGGUGAGUACCUGAUUGACUGUUUUACUUUGCCCUUUAGUAUGGUGGCAGUGUGGGCUCUCAGCCACCCCCAGUGGCACCAGAGCCAGGUCCUGUUCCCUCUUCUCCCAGCCAGGAGCCUCCCACCAAGCGGGAGUAUGACCAGUGUCGCAUACAGGUCAGGCUGCCAGAUGGGACCUCAC